CCCCUUCCUCCACCCUCACCUUCAAGGAGACAGAAGCGGUGGGGUCACCCAUUCUUGGACUUGGACCUCGGAAACUGAGUGGACUUUGGCUCAGUAAAUUGUCCUGCCGUCAGCAGAGGUCUUUGCUGGGGUGAUUUACAGCCUAGAAAUCAGCUUUUAAGGUGGCCAUGUUGGCCAUUACAUGCAACGACUCGAAAAGGUGCUUUGUCUAGGAAAGAAGAAAAAUGGUCUGUGAGAGGAAGUUGUUUGCUAAAUCAGUUCUAGCAUGGCUGCGGACAUCACAUGACUGUCACACUCUUCAGAAAGCACAGGGCAAGUCAAGAUCCCUGAAUAUUCUGGACAUGGAAUCCAUCGUGGCAACUAUCAGCUGGAGCUGAGUCCAAGUCAUGGUUACCCCGGCUGUGCUGGACAUCUUUGUGGUCUCCAGGGAGAAAGGGUGUCACUGUAACGUGCCCAGUUGCUGGCUGGGCUUGUCUCAGCCUCCCAACGUCCCUUAAUGGUCAUUGACAACGCAACAGUGCCAGGCAUUGUUGGUCUUUCUGCUGCACAAAGAUUUGCUGGAUCAUUUGACAAGACGGU
This is a long non-coding RNA of Ochotona princeps (American pika), 579 nucleotides long. RefSeq lists it as uncharacterized. The record is from RefSeq and is a predicted model, not a curated record. NCBI's taxonomy places the organism in Eukaryota, Metazoa, Chordata, Mammalia, Lagomorpha, Ochotonidae. The transcript has 4 exons.